RNAcentral lists this unclassified non-coding RNA (293 nucleotides) under uncultured fungus. Its description in RNAcentral is "sequence contains ITS1". The stretch from base 1 to 105 matches the Rfam family "5.8S ribosomal RNA", at positions 50 to 154 of the family's 154-position model. The record is from RNAcentral. Lineage: Eukaryota; Fungi.
GAAAUGCGAUAAGUAAUGUGAAUUGCAGAAUUCAGUGAAUCAUCGAAUCUUUGAACGCACAUUGCGCCCUUUGGCAUUCCGAAGGGCAUGCCCGUUCGAGCGUCAUUACACCACUCAAGCCUGGCUUGGUAUUGGGCGACGGGACAGCUCCCGCGCCUCUAAUCGAUCGGCUGGACGGUUCGAAUCUCAGCGUUGUGGUCUCAUCAAAUCGCUGGCGAGGACGACCGGACGCGCCGUUAAACCCUCUAUCAAAGGUUGACCUCGGAUCGGGUAGGGAUACCCGCUGAACUUAA